RNAcentral lists this ribosomal RNA (501 nucleotides) under uncultured bacterium. Its description in RNAcentral is "partial 16S ribosomal RNA". It matches the Rfam family "Bacterial small subunit ribosomal RNA", at positions 30 to 523 of the family's 1533-position model. The record is from RNAcentral.
AUUGAACGCUGGCGGCAGGCUUAACACAUGCAAGUCGAGCGGAGAUGAGGUGCUUGCACCUUAUCUUAGCGGCGGACGGGUGAGUAAUGCUUAGGAAUCUGCCUAUUAGUGGGGGACAACAUUCCGAAAGGAAUGCUAAUACCGCAUACGUCCUACGGGAGAAAGCAGGGGAUCUUCGGACCUUGCGCUAAUAGAUGAGCCUAAGUCGGAUUAGCUAGUUGGUGGGGUAAAGGCCUACCAAGGCGACGAUCUGUAGCGGGUCUGAGAGGAUGAGCCGCCACACUGGGACUGAGACACGGCCCAGACUCCUACGGGAGGCAGCAGUGGGGAAUAUUGGACAAUGGGGGGAACCCGGAUCCAGCCAUGCCGCGUGUGUGAAGAAGGCCUUAUGGUUGUAAAGCACUUUAAGCGAGGAGGAGGCUACUGAGACUAAUACUCUUGGAUAGUGGACGUUACUCGCAGAAUAAGCACCGGCUAACUCUGUGCCAGCCGCCGCCGUAA